Molecule: non-coding RNA, 700 nt
Organism: Heterocephalus glaber (naked mole-rat)
Lineage: Eukaryota; Metazoa; Chordata; Mammalia; Rodentia; Bathyergidae
Source: RefSeq, a predicted model, not a curated record
UGCUUCAGAUCACUGAAUUUUCAGUGUUGAGGUGAUAUUUUCCUAUUCCCCAUUGAGCUUGCCUCUUUCUGGCUUGGUGACUGGCAAUGAUCCAGAUGGUGGCUGGCCUAAGAAACAUUUCCUGAGUGCCUGAGAUACCCAAAGGUCCCCUGCUGAAGACAGAUAGCAUGAGCAAGAUAUAAAUGUUUGGUUUUAAGCCAUGGAGAUUUUGUAAUUGUUACCAUGGCAUCACCUACCCUCCCUAUCCUGACUGGCCCAGAGUCCAGUGAAAUAAGGAGCCAGUCCACAAGAAAAAAAUAGUGUCAGAGAGGCCCAUGUAUUACAAUAGAGAUCUCUGAGCCAACAGUGAUUUCAGUGGGGUGAUAUCCCGAAGCCAGCUUUCUCUACUUCAAGUACAGCAAUUUUACAGCCCUACAGACACGAAGAAGCACAUGUUUCUCAGAACAUGAUUAUUUUGGAAUCUCUGACAGCAGCUCUCCCCACCUUCUCGCGUCCCUGAGGAAUACUGUCUCACAGUAACAGGACUACGACGAGUAAUUUUCAGAUGGGCACAUAUUCAGCAUAAGGACUUCUUUACAGCUUCCACAGAUGUGGCUGUAUGACUGAGCACUCUUGAAGGAGAUUGGUCUCAUUUGCUCAGCCCUUGUGGUCCAAAGUGCAGGAGCUGGAGAAGAACUCAACUACAGCAUCCCUGCCAACU